RNAcentral lists this ribosomal RNA (371 nucleotides) under Dichogaster sp. Martinique. RNAcentral's name for it is "partial 12S ribosomal RNA". It matches the Rfam family "Microsporidia small subunit ribosomal RNA", at positions 764 to 1278 of the family's 1311-position model. Lineage: Eukaryota; Metazoa; Annelida; Clitellata; Crassiclitellata; Megascolecidae. The record is from RNAcentral.
AGAAUGUGUAAAAUCCNCWGAUCUUGGCGGUGUCUUAURAUACCAGGGGAACCUGUCUCAUAACUCGAUAAUCCACGAAAUCCCAACCUUCUAUUGAAUAAUCAGCUUGUAUACUGCCGUCGCAAGUAUACCUCUAAAAGAAAUAAGUAUACUAAAAUGAAAUAUAUAGCACCACUUACGUCAGGUCAAAGUGCAGCUAAUAAGAAGGGGAUGAUGGGUUACAACCUAAAUCAAGAUAUAAAUUGAAAUACUAAAAAUUUCAUGAAAGUGGACUUGGUUGUAAUUAUAAUUAAAUAUUAUAAUGAACGUAAAUCUAAGACAUGCACACAUCGCCCGUCACUCUACCCACUAGGGUAGAUAAGUCGUAACAA